GGGAUUCCACUGGAUCCAUUAUAGUUUGGGCCCUGGCUGAUGUCACUCCAGGCAGUGAGCAACCAGCAAGACCUAUGACAUGCCCAGAAACUGCCAUGAUGAGGAGAAUGGGAGGAGAUGAUGGAGGGAAGAAUACUGUCUCUUACUGAAUUCAAGCUCAUGUUCUCCACUGAUGUUGUAAAAGCAGCCUUUGGGUAUGUGUAUUUAAGUACUGGGAUCUCAUAUCAAAGGAACAGAGAGACCUCUUGGGAUUGAGAGCCUAUAAAUCCUGCUUUCCCCUCUCUAUAGGUAGUACAAUGAUCUGUUUGUUUAUCAGAACUCGAGUUACCAGAGGUUUUUCCUCUCCACAUGUUUCCUUAUUCCCACAAUUUCAGACAGCAUUUUGAAGGAGCUAGAAAUUGACAAUCUUGUAACCUCCUCCUCUG
This is a long non-coding RNA of Anolis sagrei ordinatus, 425 nucleotides long. RefSeq lists it as uncharacterized. The record is from RefSeq and is a predicted model, not a curated record. NCBI's taxonomy places the organism in Eukaryota, Metazoa, Chordata, Lepidosauria, Squamata, Anolidae.